RNAcentral lists this ribosomal RNA (253 nucleotides) under uncultured bacterium. RNAcentral describes it as "partial 16S ribosomal RNA". It matches the Rfam family "Bacterial small subunit ribosomal RNA", at positions 524 to 776 of the family's 1533-position model. The record is from RNAcentral.
UACGAAGGGGGCGAGCGUUGUUCGGAUUUACUGGGCGUAAAGGGCGCGUAGGCGGCCGGAUCAGUCGGGUGUGAAAGCCCGGGGCUCAACCCCGGAACGGCACCCGAGACGGUCUGGCUGGAGACCGGGAGAGGAGGGUGGAAUAGCCAGUGUAGAGGUGAAAUUCGUAGAUAUUGGCUGGAACACCGGUGGCGAAAGCGGCUCUCUGGCCCGGUUCUGACGCUGAGGCGCGAAAGCGUGGGGAGCAAACAGG